AGGCCAAAAAACUAAAAAGGGUUGUCUUGGCCUACUGUGAAAAAUACCACAGCAGCGUAGAAGGUACUAUAGUCAAGGCAAAGCCUUAUUUUCCCUUACCAGAGCCCCCUACAGAGCCCCCUACAGACCCCGAGCAGCCAUCCACAAGUACACAAGCUUCUGGCACACAACAUGGUCCCACAGCAUCUCUGGAUGCCGGUGCAGAGCAAGGUGCCACAGGAUCACCUGGAUCUAGUCCAGGACAACAGGGACAAGGGUCUCAGACAAAGGGUGGGCGCGCCGACCCAGCUUUCUUGUACAAAGUGGUUGAUGCUGUUAUGGACCCAGAAACGCUGGUGAAAGUAAAAGAUGCUGAAGAUCAGUUGGGUGCACGAGUGGGUUACAUCGAACUGGAUCUCAACAGCGGUAAGAUCCUUGAGAGUUUUCGCCCCGAAGAACGUUUUCCAAUGAUGAGCACUUUUAAAGUUCUGCUAUGUGGCGCGGUAUUAUCCCGUAUUGACGCCGGGCAAGAGCAACUCGGUCGCCGCAUACACUAUUCUCAGAAUGACUUGGUUGAGUACUCACCAGUCACAGAAAAGCAUCUUACGGAUGGCAUGACAGUAAGAGAAUUAUGCAGUGCUGCCAUAACCAUGAGUGAUAACACUGCGGCCAACUUACUUCUGACAACGAUCGGAGGACCGAAGGAGCUAACCGCUUUUUUGCACAACAUGGGGGAUCAUGUAACUCGCCUUGAUCGUUGGGAACCGGAGCUGAAUGAAGCCAUACCAAACGACGAGCGUGACACCACGAUGCCUGUAGCAAUGGCAACAACGUUGCGCAAACUAUUAACUGGCGAACUACUUACUCUAGCUUCCCGGCAACAAUUAAUAGACUGGAUGGAGGCGGAUAAAGUUGCAGGACCACUUCUGCGCUCGGCCCUUCCGGCUGGCUGGUUUAUUGCUGAUAAAUCUGGAGCCGGUGAGCGUGGGUCUCGCGGUAUCAUUGCAGCACUGGGGCCAGAUGGUAAGCCCUCCCGUAUCGUAGUUAUCUACACGACGGGGAGUCAGGCAACUAUGGAUGAACGAAAUAGACAGAUCGCUGAGAUAGGUGCCUCACUGAUUAAGCAUUGGUAACCGGUUAGUAAUGAGUUUAAACGGGGGAGGCUAACUGAAACACGGAAGGAGACAAUACCGGAAGGAACCCGCGCUAUGACGGCAAUAAAAAGACAGAAUAAAACGCACGGGUGUUGGGUCGUUUGUUCAUAAACGCGGGGUUCGGUCCCAGGGCUGGCACUCUGUCGAUACCCCACCGAGACCCCAUUGGGGCCAAUACGCCCGCGUUUCUUCCUUUUCCCCACCCCACCCCCCAAGUUCGGGUGAAGGCCCAGGGCUCGCAGCCAACGUCGGGGCGGCAGGCCCUGCCAUAGCAGAUCCACUAGUAACGGCCGCCAGUGUGCUGGAAUUCAGGGACAUAAAUCACAUUCCCAGAAUAUAUCCUGGGCAACACCUUCGCCAGGGCAUGCAACAAGAAUGUAAAGCCAGUGGUCUGGAAUUUUCUCUGUGCCAAAAAUAUGUCUUCUAAUGGAAAAUGGUUCAUUAAAUUGUUUUCAAUAAAAAAGUGUGUCAU
Molecule: long non-coding RNA, 1605 nt
Filed under: synthetic construct
Description: blac-01
Source: RNAcentral